UCAGGUAGGGAUACCCGCUGAACUUAAGCAUAUCAAUAAGCGGAGGA
Molecule: ribosomal RNA, 47 nt
Filed under: Aspergillus aculeatus
Lineage: Eukaryota; Fungi; Ascomycota; Eurotiomycetes; Eurotiales; Aspergillaceae
Also listed under: 3 other names
Description: partial 28S ribosomal RNA
Source: RNAcentral